GACGAACGCUGGCGGCGUGCUUAACACAUGCAAGUCGAACGGAAAGGCCCUGCUUUUGUGGGGUGCUCGAGUGGCGAACGGGUGAGUAACACGUGAGUAACCUGCCCUUGACUUUGGGAUAACUUCAGGAAGCUGGGGCUAAUACCGGAUAGGAGCUCCUGCUGCAUGGUGGGGGUUGGAAAGUUUCGGCGGUUGGGGAUGGACUCGCGGCUUAUCAGCUUGUUGGUGGGGUAGUGGCUUACCAAGGCUUUGACGGGUAGCCGGCCUGAGAGGGUGACCGGCCACAUUGGGACUGAGAUACGGCCCAGACUCCUACGGGAGGCAGCAGUGGGGAAUAUUGCACAAUGGGCGGAAGCCUGAUGCAGCAACGCCGCGUGCGGGAGGACGGCCUUCGGGUUGUAAACCGCUUUCGCCUGUGACGAAGCGUGAGUGACGGUAAUGGGUAAAGAAGCACCGGCUAACUACGU
RNAcentral lists this ribosomal RNA (467 nucleotides) under uncultured bacterium. Its description in RNAcentral is "partial 16S ribosomal RNA". It matches the Rfam family "Bacterial small subunit ribosomal RNA", at positions 28 to 506 of the family's 1533-position model. The record is from RNAcentral.